Long non-coding RNA from Saccostrea cuccullata (small rock oyster), 210 nucleotides. RefSeq lists it as uncharacterized. Lineage: Eukaryota; Metazoa; Mollusca; Bivalvia; Ostreida; Ostreidae. The record is from RefSeq and is a predicted model, not a curated record. The transcript is spliced from 3 exons.
GUCCAGAGUUUCAGGCUUAAAGAAUGAAUAGAUAAAAAAUGCAUCAUUUCUCCACUGGGCCUAGCUAUUCCCAAAUGUUGGACUAAUGGAUUCAUUCAGGCAGCAAGUUAAUCCAUCAUUUAAGGAAAAUGAAUUCAUUUUAUCCACAAGAACAUGAAGUGAUGGAAAUAAUUUGCACCUGCCCAGCAUUCCUACAGUCUGUCAUUGGAU